This is a long non-coding RNA of Sinocyclocheilus rhinocerous, 243 nucleotides long. RefSeq lists it as uncharacterized. The record is from RefSeq and is a predicted model, not a curated record. The transcript has 3 exons. NCBI's taxonomy places the organism in Eukaryota, Metazoa, Chordata, Actinopteri, Cypriniformes, Cyprinidae.
UACAUUGCACCUUGGCAGAUCACAUGGGGUUCUGCUUUCCAUGCCUUCGCUCAGCCAUUCGCCGUUCCCCACUCAGCCAUGCUGUUUGUGCAAGCUGUGUUUUCAGCUCUCUUUUCCACUCCUCUCAACCCUGUGCUGGGCAGCGCUGUUUUCGUUACUUCAUACACCCGGCCUGUGAAGUUCUGGGAGCGAGACUACAACACCAAACGAGUGGAUCAUUCCAACACACGUCUGGCCACACAG